UUGACCUCGGAUCAGGUAGGGAUACCCGCUGAACUUAAGCAUAUCAAUAAGCGGAGGAAAAGAAACCAACAGGGAUUGCCCUAGUAACGGCGAGUGAAGCGGCAACAGCUCAAAUUUGAAAUCUGGCUCUUUCAGAGUCCGAGUUGUAAUUUGCAGAGGGCGCUUUGGCUUUGGCAGCGGUCCAAGUUCCUUGGAACAGGACGUCACAGAGGGUGAGAAUCCCGUACGUGGUCGCUAGCUAUUGCCGUGUAAAGCCCCUUCGACGAGUCGAGUUGUUUGGGAAUGCAGCUCUAAAUGGGAGGUAAAUUUCUUCUAAAGCUAAAUACUGGCCAGAGACCGAUAGCGCACAAGUAGAGUGAUCGAAAGAUGAAAAGCACUUUGGAAAGAGAGUCAAACAGCACGUGAAAUUGUUGAAAGGGAAGCGCUUGCAGCCAGACUUGCUUGCAGUUGCUCAUCCGGGCUUUUGCCCGGUGCACUCUUCUGCAGGCAGGCCAGCA
This 497-nucleotide ribosomal RNA is filed under the name Pyrenophora seminiperda. Its description in RNAcentral is "eukaryotic LSU rRNA". It matches the Rfam family "Eukaryotic large subunit ribosomal RNA", at positions 1 to 501 of the family's 3401-position model. Lineage: Eukaryota; Fungi; Ascomycota; Dothideomycetes; Pleosporales; Pleosporaceae. The record is from RNAcentral.